GUUCAGAAAAAUGGCGUACCUCAGAAGACAGAGCAGUUGGGCAGAGAAUCUGGAAAUCUGGAAAGGGAGCCAUGAGAGAGAGAGUCAGGCCAAGCAGAGGCUGCCCCCUGCAAAUGUGUUUACAGAUUCCACCUUCCCUCAGGAGGAGGCUGACCUUUGACUGGGCUGAAUACGUCUUCCCCCAUCUUCAUGGCAAACACUGAAUCCAGCAUGACAUCUCCUGUGCUCCUGUGGAUUCCCAAGUUUU
This is a long non-coding RNA of Suricata suricatta (meerkat), 247 nucleotides long. RefSeq lists it as uncharacterized. Lineage: Eukaryota; Metazoa; Chordata; Mammalia; Carnivora; Herpestidae. The transcript has 3 exons. The record is from RefSeq and is a predicted model, not a curated record.